This is a long non-coding RNA of Brassica oleracea var. oleracea, 753 nucleotides long. RefSeq lists it as uncharacterized. The record is from RefSeq and is a predicted model, not a curated record. Lineage: Eukaryota; Viridiplantae; Streptophyta; Magnoliopsida; Brassicales; Brassicaceae. The transcript has 3 exons.
AACUCAGAUCGAUCGCAAAGGUGAGGCUAGGGUUUCGUAGCUAAGAGAUCAAUCAAUUUGCUGAUUUCAAAACAAAAUCGUUCAUCGAUCCUUUCACCAGACACCAAGAUGCUAUCCAAGUUGAAAUUGUAUGAAUAAAAAUGUUAGACACCGAGACAUAUUAAAAAAAUGAAGAUUGAAGAUUGAUUGUCACUUGGAGAGUUCUGGGAUGUUAAAAAGAGUUGUCGGCUGAGAUUGAUUUCCACAUAGAAGUCCAACACAAUCAUUGAAAUGAAGAUUUACUUGGAACGAAAUAUUAGUAAUAGAGACCGAGUACUCUCUACAGAGUAACAGAGGGACAGGAGACAUGAGACAUAAACGAUUUAUAGAAAAGCUCAGGUAGAUGAAUCGGGAAGAACAUAGAGAUGAGCAAAGGGAAGACACGCUAAUCACUUAGUGGAAGUGUGUUCUCAGGUGUAUAUGAUUGUCUCAUAAGUUUUGCUUAUCUUUGUAUACAACCAUUAUGUAAUGAUAUUUUUCGUUUUUAAAUGUAUUGCAUGAUAUUGGAUGUUCUGAGAAACAAAUUCCAGGAAUCGAGCUGCGUAAGAAGACAACAAAAUGGACUGGAAAACAGACUUUUAACAGGGCAAGGUAAUUAGGUAUCAUAACACGGAAAAGUAGGACAGUCUAGCAUAAGUUGUUAACUUAAAAAACCCCGCCUUAAGUUUAGAAGUUUAGCUUUUACUUAUCUUGUGUGAUGCAAAUCAGGGUUUA